CCAGACUCCUACGGGAGGCAGCAGUGGGGAAUAUUGCACAAUGGGGGAAACCCUGAUGCAGCGACGCCGCGUGAGUGAAGAAGUAUUUCGGUAUGUAAAGCUCUAUCAGCAGGGAAGAAAAUGACGGUACCUGAUUAAGAAGCCCCGGCUAACUACGUGCCAGCAGCCGCGGUAAUACGUAGGGGGCAAGCGUUAUCCGGAUUUACUGGGUGUAAAGGGAGCGUAGACGGUGAUGCAAGUCAGAAGUGAAAGCCCGGGGCUCAACUCCGGGACUGCAUUUGAAACUGUGUAACUAGAGUGCAGGAGAGGUAAGCGGAAUUCCUGGUGUAGCGGUGAAAUGCGUAGAUAUCAGGAGGAACACCAGUGGCGAAGGCGGCUUACUGGACUGUAACUGACGUUGAGGCUCGAAAGCGUGGGGAGCAAACAGGAUUAGAUACCCGGGUAU
Molecule: ribosomal RNA, 445 nt
Filed under: uncultured bacterium
Lineage: Bacteria
Description: bacterial SSU rRNA
Rfam family: Bacterial small subunit ribosomal RNA
Source: RNAcentral